RNAcentral lists this ribosomal RNA (301 nucleotides) under uncultured bacterium. RNAcentral describes it as "partial 16S ribosomal RNA". It matches the Rfam family "Bacterial small subunit ribosomal RNA", at positions 509 to 807 of the family's 1533-position model. The record is from RNAcentral.
CAGCAGCCACGGGAAUACGGAGGGAGCUAGCGUUGUUCGGAAUUACUGGGCGUAAAGCGCACGUAGGCGGCUUUGUAAGUUAGAGGUGAAAGCCUGGAGCUCAACUCCAGAAUUGCCUUUAAGACUGCAUCGCUUGAAUCCAGGAGAGGUGAGUGGAAUUCCGAGUGUAGAGGUGAAAUUCGUAGAUAUUCGGAAGAACACCAGUGGCGAAGGCGGCUCACUGGACUGGUAUUGACGCUGAGGUGCGAAAGCGUGGGGAGCAAACAGGAUUAGAGACCCGAGUAGUCCCUGUCUCUUAUAC